GGAGGAACAUUACCGAGUGUAGGGUUCCUAGCGAGCCCAACCUCCCACCCGUGUUUACUGUAACCUUAGUUGCUUCGGCGGGCCCGCCUUUAAGGCCGCCGGGGGGCAUCAGCCCCCGGGCCCGCGCCCGCCGGAGACACCACGAACUCUGUCUGAUCUAGUGAAGUCUGAGUUGAUUGUAUCGCAAUCAGUUAAAACUUUCAACAAUGGAUCUCUUGGUUCCGGCAUCGAUGAAGAACGCAGCGAAAUGCGAUAACUAGUGUGAAUUGCAGAAUUCCGUGAAUCAUCGAGUCUUUGAACGCACAUUGCGCCCCCUGGUAUUCCGGGGGGCAUGCCUGUCCGAGCGUCAUUGCUGCCCAUCAAGCACGGCUUGUGUGUUGGGUCGUCGUCCCCUCUUCGGGGGGGACGGGCCCCAAAGGCAGCGGCGGCACCGCGUCCGAUCCUCGAGCGUAUGGGGCUUUGUCACCCGCUCUGUAGGCCCGGCCGGCGCUUGCCGAACGCAAAACAACCAUUCUUUCCAGGUUGACCUCGGAUCAGGUAGGGAUACCCGCUGAACUUAAGCAUAUCAAU
RNAcentral lists this ribosomal RNA (570 nucleotides) under Aspergillus tamarii. RNAcentral describes it as "eukaryotic LSU rRNA". The stretch from base 196 to 349 matches the Rfam family "5.8S ribosomal RNA". The record is from RNAcentral. Lineage: Eukaryota; Fungi; Ascomycota; Eurotiomycetes; Eurotiales; Aspergillaceae.